ACUCCUACGGGAGGCAGCAGUGGGGAAUUUUGGACAAUGGGCGCAAGCCUGAUCCAGCCAUUCCGCGUGCAGGAUGAAGGCCCUCGGGUUGUAAACUGCUUUUGUACGGAACGAAAAGGCUCUGGUUAAUACCUGGGGCUCAUGACGGUACCGUAAGAAUAAGCACCGGCUAACUACGUGCCAGCAGCCGCGGUAAUAC
Molecule: ribosomal RNA, 199 nt
Filed under: uncultured bacterium
Lineage: Bacteria
Description: partial 16S ribosomal RNA
Rfam family: Bacterial small subunit ribosomal RNA
Source: RNAcentral